UUACGGCCACAUCAUGUUGAAACACUAGUUCCCGUAGGAUCACCGAAGUUAAGCAAAGUCGAGUCUGGUCAGUAUGGAUGGGUGACCGUUUGUGAAUACCAUGUGCUGUAAG
Acanthosepion pharaonis is the source of this 112-nucleotide non-coding RNA. NCBI's taxonomy places the organism in Eukaryota, Metazoa, Mollusca, Cephalopoda, Sepiida, Sepiidae. The record is from the annotation of a GenBank genome assembly.